UAUUAGCAAAUUUUCAGAAAAAGGAAAUUAAAAAAAAAAAAAAACUAAAAUCAUAUAAUUACCAAAAUGCCAUGUUAGAGUCAAAGGAAUUGAAAACCAGGUUCUCAAAAUCCCCUUCUUCUCCCUCUUCCGUGUCACCAUAUCCAUGAAGCUCAUAUCCAUGAUUGUCUAUGUGUCUCUACCAUAAUCAAUUCUCUUGCUAAUUCAUCAAACCUAUUUACCUAAAACUAGACUAGCUAAUCCUAAUCACCAAUUUGUUAACUCAAAACUCUUACACUUGUCUCUACCAACAAUCUGAGUUGUUGCAUCCAUGCAUGGAGCACCAUUGCUCCUAUAAAUAGCUGCUCAAUCAUCCCAAAAACAAUACAAUUCAGAUUGACCUUCAAUUUCUAAACCACCAUUAAAACCCUCUUAAACAAGAUAAAUUUCUGGAAAAUUACCAAAACCACCACAUUAACCACCACUGCCGCCCCAUUCUGCCGGAAACCACCGCAACUGUCACUGGUGUUGCUGUCGGCAUACCGCUUCCACCCAGCUUCGCUCAGGUAUCCGACCACCUUACUCUCGUGAAGCCAACUAGUAGCCGCCACCUUCUCUUUUCUCUUUUCUCUUUUCCUUCGUGCGGCUCUUUGUUCCGUUGCUGGCGCUCCAAAAAUGUCGGGAAGCAAGUUCCAUUUGGAACUUUGUUUCUUUGUAAAGUCAGCCCAUUAACUAAGUGCUAAGAGUGGCCCAACUUCAAUCUUUUUGGAAGAAAAAUCGGACUCGGAGCUCAGGAAGGACGAUAAUCAAGGUUAGAGAAAAAGCCUAGUCAAUCACGAAAUUGAGGUGCCGAUCGGGGCGACGGAUGCGAAUAGUGGCAAGGAUUUCGUCUUAUAAGGGUUCACCUAGUUUAAGCUUAUUUUGUAUUAAGUCCAAGUAAGAAUUUUCUACUAAGUUAUGUAAGUCACUUUUGAAUAUUAAUAUAGAACAUAGUUAUAUAAAAGUAUUAUGAGAAUUUGUUCACCUUGUCAGAAAGGCUGAGAUAAUACUGGACUGUGAAGCCAAAGAUUUACUCAAGGCUAGAGGGAGACCGUUCAAGAAAAGUGGAAAGUCCAAGGGCAAUGCUAAAUCAAAGCAGGACAAGUCCACAUCAAGCUGUCUUUAUUGUAAUGGAAUAGGCCAUUACAAAAGAGAAUGUUCAAAGCUAAAGGAAGAUCAGAAGAACGGAACAGUCGUUCCAUCUUCAGGGACUAAGAAGAAGUAGAAAGUUAAGCAAGGGUGAAGUCGACCUACGAGUGGGAAAUGGAGCACGGAUUGCUGCAUUAGCUGUAGGAACUUAUUAUUUGUCGUUGCCCUCUGGGC
Molecule: RNA transcript, 1341 nt
Organism: Spinacia oleracea (spinach)
Lineage: Eukaryota; Viridiplantae; Streptophyta; Magnoliopsida; Caryophyllales; Amaranthaceae
Exons: 4
Source: RefSeq, a predicted model, not a curated record